GAGCACGUAGGUGGGUUUGUAAGUCAGAUGUGAAAGCCUUCUGUUCAACGGAAGAAUUGCAUCUGAAACUGCGAGUCUUGAGUGUAGGAGGGGAGAAUGGAACUUCUGGUGGAGCGGUGAAAUGCGUAGAUAUCAGAAGGAACGCCGGCGGCGAAAGCGAUUCUCUGGCCUAUUACUGACACUCAGUGUGCGAAAGCUAGGGGAGCAAACGGGAUUAGAUACCCCGGUAGUCCCAGCCGUAAACGAUGGGCGCUGAGUAGAGGGAAUUACCGAUGUUCUCUCUGCCGUAGCUAAUGCAUUAAGUGCCCCGCCUGGGGAGUACGGCCGCAAGGCUAAAACUCAAAAGAAUUGACGGGGGCUCGCACAAGCGGUGGAGCAUGUGGCUUAAUUCGAUGCAACGCGAAAAACCUUACCGGGGCUUGACAUGGUAGAAGUAGGAACCCGAAAGGGUAACGAACGGUAUCCAGUCCGUAGCUAUCACAGGUGUUGCAUGGCUGUCGUCAGCUCGUGUCGUGAGGCGUUGGGUUAAGUCCCCUAACGAGCGAAACCCUUGUUUUUAGUUACCAGCGGGUUAUGCCGGGUACUCUAGAUAGACUGCCGUCGUCAAGACGGAGGGAGGUGGGGAUGACGUCAAGUCAUCAUGGCCCUUAUGCCCCGGGCUGCACACGUGCUACAAUGGUCGGUACAAACGGAUGCGAAGCCGAGAGGUGAAGCGAAUCC
RNAcentral lists this ribosomal RNA (720 nucleotides) under uncultured anaerobic ammonium-oxidizing bacterium. RNAcentral describes it as "bacterial SSU rRNA". It matches the Rfam family "Bacterial small subunit ribosomal RNA", at positions 565 to 1274 of the family's 1533-position model. The record is from RNAcentral.